UACGAGGGGUGCAAGCGUUAUUCGGAUUUAUUGGGCGUACAGGGUGUGUAGGCGGUAUGUUAAGUCUGUUGUUAAAGACCUCGGCCUAACCGAGGAAAAGCGAUGGAUACUGGCAUACUAGAGGAUGGAAGAGAGAAGUGGAAUUCUUGGAGUAGCGGUAAAAUGCGUAGAUCUCAAGAGGAACACCGAUGGCGAAGGCAGCUUCUUGGUCCAUUCCUGACGCUGAGACACGAAAGCGUGGGGAGCAAACAGG
RNAcentral lists this unclassified non-coding RNA (253 nucleotides) under uncultured bacterium. Its description in RNAcentral is "contains 16S-23S intergenic spacer region". It matches the Rfam family "Bacterial small subunit ribosomal RNA", at positions 524 to 776 of the family's 1533-position model. The record is from RNAcentral.